CAAGAGUUCAGCAAAGCAGAGCAGAAACCCAGUCCCCUAGCACAGCCCAGGGACCAAGGGAUGGUGUCCCCAUGUGAGAAAUCAAAGCAGAAGUCCUGUGAGAAUUGGAGGGAGAAUCCCCAGCGAUGACAGGACACGUGUGGAGUGUCCCCCAGUCGCCAUUUGAUCAGCCCCAGGUGGUUCCACUUUGAGAGGAGGAUGGCGGCAAUGAGACGGAGGUUCUUUAAGGAACGAUGCCAGGAUGCAGGCAUGCAGGACAGGAGGUGAGAAAGAACGGAGGUCAGUUGGAAGUCAUUGGAAGGCCAGUGCUGUUGGACACCAAUUUGGGGGACUGAGCUGAUGAUCCUCUGGGACUACCUGGGAGUCUUAAGACAUGCAUAUCAGAACUGCCACCUGAAGAAUGAAGCGGGGAAGCAAUGACCCAUCGGUUUCCAUCCCCUGUGGACAAGAACAUUCACUCCCAGGUCGCCCAUGUGUGACUACUGAGCAUCCCAUGAGAUGGUGUUAGAGAAGCUUUGGCAGGAAGUGAGACCAACGGGGCAUGGGUCAAGGCGAUGUGCUGUUAGGUUGCACCUGUGCCCAGCAACUGCAGCCCAAGUGGAACUGGUUACUAUAGCAGUGUCUAAGGAGGGAGGGGAGACUGAGAGGUUUUGAAGUGGUGCACAAGAGAUGUGUGAUACAUCGAUCUUCCCUUCCUAUGCAUGAAUGGGGAGUGGAUGGGGAUACCCUCAGACCCAAAAAGGGAGGUGGAAAUGGCCUGCCAACAGAUUCCUGCAGGGCCAGGCUUUGGGGAGCAGGGAGCUCCCCAGACCAUGAGUGGGUGCUAACUGCAUGCCCCCUCUGACAGGUAUGAAGAUUAAAUCUGGAGGCACCAUCUCUGCUAGACCCCUACAUCACCCUCACUUCUCAUGAACACAUCCUGCCCCAUGAGAAUGCCCUAUCCUCCCUACCCACUUCUGGCCCAUCUGCCCUGGCUGUCAGCCACUGGGUCCUUGGCCAGAGACUGCAUUCCAUACUGCCUGUGCCAGCCCCACUCAGGGAAACCAACUGGAGAAACAGAGGUAUUCAGGGUUCUGAGUAGAGUCAGGUCAUUUGCUCAUUCAUUCACCUGUCUGGGCAGCCUAUUGGCACAAACAGUGGAGAGCCAGAGCCUUUCUGGUUCCUAUAUCCUGUGGGUACAUUUUUCUGAAUUCCCUUACUCAACAUGACUUCCCUGCCAUAUUGUAGUCAAAUUAGUGCUUCUCAAAGUGCUGGACCUGCAGCAGCAGGAUUAUCCAAGAAUCUGGUAGAAAUGCAAAUUCUCAGACUCCGGGUCUGGGGCCAAGCAAUCUUGCUUUGACAAGCCCUCGCGGUGAUUCCGUUGCAUGCUGACAUCUGGCAACCACUGUCUAGAAGAAUGGUGUCCUGGGGUUACUUACUCAGUGUGUGUGUACACAGCGGCCCUCACAUUUGCCCUCUGGGUUGGAGUGGAAGCUACUCUCUAGCAGAAGUAUGGAUGGACAUCCAAAGGUGUGGUCUGCUUAGCUAGGAAGCCACUUUGAACCACCGCCCAGACCUUAGCACUGACAAGACUGUGACCUCUGGGUCACCUCCAGAGAUUACCACCAGCUCCCACCCACACUGAACCACCCUGUGUCCCUGGGGAGAAUGAGUGGUAAUACAAUGGUAAGAGUCAGAAUAAUAGAAAAAAUAAUAAUAGUUACCAUUCUUAUUAGACUUUCAAUGUGUUAAAUACUUUAUUUCACAAAAACAACCCUAUGACAUAUGUCACAUUGUUAUACCCGUUUUAAAGAUAAGGAAGUGAAGGAAUAAGGUCCCACAGAUAACAAGAGCUGAGUGGUUGGGUUAAACCAGAUUUAUCUGGUUCUAGUGACUAUCUCACACUCUCACAAGCUCUGCAUCUGCCAAUUCUGGAAAUUGCUACUCACAUUUUAUACACACACACACACACACAUGCAGAGGAUCAAACUCAGUCAUCUGUAUUGGUGGCCAACAUCAUACAGCAUAUACACACACACACACACACACACACAUAUAUUUACAUAAUUGUGUUUAUGUAUUCACAUUAGUCUUUAUUUAUUUAUUUUUAAUUAGGAAUUAAUUUAAUUAUGGAAUAAAAGACCACAAUUCAGCUGAAGAGAGAGCAAAGGAAAG
Molecule: non-coding RNA, 2154 nt
Organism: Manis javanica (Malayan pangolin)
Lineage: Eukaryota; Metazoa; Chordata; Mammalia; Pholidota; Manidae
Source: RefSeq, a predicted model, not a curated record